GCGACAGCGGCCGCCGGCUUCUAAGGCGGUUUGAGACCUUAAGACCCUAAAUCCUUGGCGCGCGUGAGCGCCCGCGCCGCUCCUUACCCACUCCCAGGGCUAGGGGUGCGAGGUUCACCGACUUGAUUCUCUCCCACUUUCCCGCCGGGAGCUAACCGCGCCGGUGUGCGCGGCACCUCGCGCCACUGCUCGCUCCUGGCCCCC
RNAcentral lists this long non-coding RNA (204 nucleotides) under Homo sapiens (human). Its description in RNAcentral is "LHRI_LNC101.1". Lineage: Eukaryota; Metazoa; Chordata; Mammalia; Primates; Hominidae. The record is from RNAcentral.